ACGGCCAUGCCAUACUGAAUAUACCGGUUCUCGUUAGAUCACCGAAGUUAAGCAUCACCAAGCGCGGACAGUACUUGGGGUGACCACCUUGGGAACACCUG
This is a non-coding RNA of Caerostris extrusa, 101 nucleotides long. The record is from the annotation of a GenBank genome assembly. NCBI's taxonomy places the organism in Eukaryota, Metazoa, Arthropoda, Arachnida, Araneae, Araneidae.